UACGGAGGGUGCAAGCGCUGUCCGGAUUUAAUGGGCUUAAAGGGUGCGUAGGCGGGAGAUUAAGUCAGGGGUGAAAGCCCACAGCUCAACUGGGGAACUGCCAUUGAUACUGGUUUUCUUGAGUGUAGAUGAGGCAGGCGGAAUUUACGAUGUAGCGGUGAAAUGCAUAGAUAUCGUAAAGAACACCUAUAGCGAAGGCAGCUUGCUAAACUACUACUGACGCUGAGGCACGAAAGCAUGGGGAGCGAACAGG
RNAcentral lists this unclassified non-coding RNA (253 nucleotides) under uncultured Cytophagales bacterium. RNAcentral's name for it is "contains 16S-23S intergenic spacer region". It matches the Rfam family "Bacterial small subunit ribosomal RNA", at positions 524 to 776 of the family's 1533-position model. The record is from RNAcentral. Lineage: Bacteria; Pseudomonadati; Bacteroidota; Sphingobacteriia; Sphingobacteriales.